CAGUAGCCGCGGUAAUACGUAGGUGGCAAGCGUUGUCCGGAAUUAUUGGGCGUAAAGGGCUCGCAGGCGGUUUCUUAAGUCUGAUGUGAAAGCCCCCGGCUCAACCGGGGAGGGUCAUUGGAAACUGGGAAACUUGAGUGCAGAAGAGGAGAGUGGAAUUCCACGUGUAGCGGUGAAAUGCGUAGAGAUGUGGAGGAACACCAGUGGCGAAGGCGACUCUAUGGUCUGUAACUGACGCUGAGGAGCGAAAGCGUGGGGAGCAAACAGGAUUAGAUACCCGCGUAGUCCCUGUCUCUUAUAC
RNAcentral lists this ribosomal RNA (301 nucleotides) under uncultured bacterium. Its description in RNAcentral is "partial 16S ribosomal RNA". It matches the Rfam family "Bacterial small subunit ribosomal RNA", at positions 509 to 807 of the family's 1533-position model. The record is from RNAcentral.